This 784-nucleotide long non-coding RNA is filed under the name Cricetulus griseus (Chinese hamster). RNAcentral describes it as "lncRNA (ENSCGRG00015031404.1)". The record is from RNAcentral. Lineage: Eukaryota; Metazoa; Chordata; Mammalia; Rodentia; Cricetidae.
CUUUUGGGGGAGCACAGAGAGCCCUGCCCCCCUCAGCGGUGGAUGGAGGCAUCUAGCCCCUACCACAUCUGUCUAAGGCUAAAGCUCCAGGGCCCAGGGACAUCCCCUCCCCGCCCUAGAAACAGACCCAUGUACAGAUUAGCAGGGAAUUUCCUGAGUCAGCAGUGCCUUAUAUGGGAAUCAAAGUCCUGAAAUGUCAGGGCAGCAGAGGCAUGUUGCCUCUAUUCCAUCCUCUGAACAUUUGUCUGGGGAAACUGAGUUACAGAAGAGGUUGUGACGUGUUGGAGUCCUCUGUGCAGGAGCUCCAGAGCAGCGACUGGAAUGAGGAAGGGGAGGAACUGGGCCUACCUGGAGCGGGCUUUGUUCUCCAUCUGGUGCUGGGGCUGAUCUGUGUCCACUCUGGGUGGCCUAUCUGUGAGAUCCACCUGCCUCUGCCUUCCAAGUGCUGGGAUUAAAGGCGUGCACCAUUAUAAUGACCUUGGAGCCUCCAUCCUGUGGCUUCUAUUUCCUAAGUAUUGGAAUCACAGCAUGUGACACCACAGCCCUUGUGUGGCGGACAGAGGACGACUUUCAGGGGGCAGAGAGGAUGCUGGAAAGAAGUAGGAUGGAGUCAGAGGAGUUGCCAGCCAAACCCAGGGAGGAAGCAGGUGGCACAAGAUGAAAGAAAGCACAGAAUGUGAGACAACACAGCAGAAAUAGACAGGGCCUAGCAGGACCCACUUCCCAAGCCUAAGAAGUCAGUAUGGCCAGGUGCUUUCAGUUCAUAGCAACCAGACUUCAAGCA